UACGGGGGGGGCAAGCGUUGUUCGGAAUUACUGGGCGUAAAGGGCUCGUAGGCGGCCAACUAAGUCAGACGUGAAAUCCCCAGGCUCAACCUGGGAACUGCGUCUGAUACUGGAUGGCUUGAAUCCGGGAGAGGGAUGCAGAAUUCCAGGUGUAGCGGUGAAAUGCGUAGAUAUCUGGAGGAAUACCGGUGGCGAAGGCGGCAUCCUGGACCGGCAUUGACGCUGAGGAGCGAAAGCUAGGGGAGCAAACGGG
RNAcentral lists this ribosomal RNA (253 nucleotides) under uncultured bacterium. RNAcentral's name for it is "partial 16S ribosomal RNA". It matches the Rfam family "Bacterial small subunit ribosomal RNA", at positions 524 to 776 of the family's 1533-position model. The record is from RNAcentral. RNAcentral also lists the same sequence under 1 other name.